AAACUAUUGUACGCGAUAUUCUAUCAAAAAUGUUCACGGACGUACCAACUGAGUUUAAGUCUAUCCGUCUUGAUAAGCCAACCACCUCUUCACGUCGCCUCAUCAAAAUUAUCUUCGGCUCAAAUAAUGCUGCUUUUAUUCCUCUAACGUUCUAUCACCUCAUUCCUCAUAAUAACGUCAAGCAGCAAUUUAUUCGUUUCUUAUCCGUUUGUCUUAUGUUCCAAAAAUUUCUACUCGCCUAUCAUCCUUUCCAUCAUAGUAUUACUAAGUUUCACUGUUUACUAAUUCACGUGCUUA
Molecule: non-coding RNA, 297 nt
Organism: Cinara cedri
Lineage: Eukaryota; Metazoa; Arthropoda; Insecta; Hemiptera; Aphididae
Source: the annotation of a GenBank genome assembly